This is a long non-coding RNA of Cucumis melo (muskmelon), 296 nucleotides long. RefSeq lists it as uncharacterized. Lineage: Eukaryota; Viridiplantae; Streptophyta; Magnoliopsida; Cucurbitales; Cucurbitaceae. The record is from RefSeq and is a predicted model, not a curated record. The transcript has 3 exons.
GUUCAAAACUAUCUCUUUUGUCUCAACAAGACCACAAGUAUAAGGUUCUUGAAAAAGAAUAUUUGAAGAUGAAGGAAGAAAUGGUAGAAAUGAAAACAAUGAAAGAUGAAAUGAUUGAAAUGAAAGCACUUAUGUUAUCUUAUUUAAAGAAACAUACUGAACCAAGUGAGGAACUUUCAAAUGCUACUGCAAGUGUGCUUAAGCGACUAAAUAUUCCUCCAAUGCCUUCUCCAUCGAGUAUCAAUAACAACAGUCAAACUAAGUGCAAGUUAUUAGAUUGGUAUGGCUCGGGAGAG